Non-coding RNA from Pelobates cultripes (western spadefoot toad), 545 nucleotides. The record is from the annotation of a GenBank genome assembly. NCBI's taxonomy places the organism in Eukaryota, Metazoa, Chordata, Amphibia, Anura, Pelobatidae.
CCACUACACUUAUUAUGAGAGUGGGAUAAGUGUAAAUGUGUUGCAUUGUUUGCAUGAUGAGCUCAGUAUAUUUUAUAACUGAGACAAAAAGUCACUUCAUUAGUAUUUUAAAGUUAAUUCCCCAUCUGGGAUUAAUUGUAUAGAAACACCAAUCAGCACAUCUUCCCUGCCCUGUGUGUUUGUUGCAAAGGAUCCAUACUAAAUAUGAUUUUGAAAAUAACAGAGCAACAUUUACAUUUUCAGCGGUCCAACACAUGCUUUAUUUUGCGCUGUAAACUAACCUUUUUAUUGCAACAGGUUCCUUUUAAAUGAUCCAGUGUAAUAACUACUGCUUGUGUCUUCUAUGUCUCACAUUAUGUGUUCUUUUAAAUUGUGGUAUAUAGCCUGGAUCAGAAAUCAUGGACAAAGGUUUUUUACCUGUGUUACUAAGGGCUCUUGGAGACUGACCGGUCUAAAGGUUUGCCAUGCCUUUAAAACAUGGUAUAGUAUAAAUUUUUUUAAGUCUCUGAGAGUUCUGAAAGAUUCAGGUGAAACCAUGUCUGUUU